UUGAGUCUAAGUCCGUCCUAAUUCACUUCCUUCUUCAAUUCUCGUUGAAACCCUGCAAAACAAUGUAAAAACAAGUAUAAUAUCUCUAAAACCAACUUUUGACUCUCUCGUGACUGAACUAAGUGUUUUAUUUGAUUUUGAGCUCAUUCUAAGCCACAAAGGGUGUGUUUUGAUAUCAUAUUUAAGCAUGAAAAUAACAAUUUCUAGACCAUUAUCAACUUCACAGGUUGUCAAGCCUUCAAUCAACA
RNAcentral lists this long non-coding RNA (248 nucleotides) under Vigna radiata. RNAcentral describes it as "long non-coding RNA (VRAD_LNC008026)". The record is from RNAcentral. Lineage: Eukaryota; Viridiplantae; Streptophyta; Magnoliopsida; Fabales; Fabaceae.